RNAcentral lists this ribosomal RNA (427 nucleotides) under uncultured bacterium. RNAcentral describes it as "partial 16S ribosomal RNA". It matches the Rfam family "Bacterial small subunit ribosomal RNA", at positions 354 to 795 of the family's 1533-position model. The record is from RNAcentral.
GUAGGGAAUAUUGCGAAAUGGGGGAAACCCUGACGCAGCGACGCCGCGUGAGUGAUGAAGGCCUUCGGGUCGUAAAGCUCUGUUGCAGGGGAAUAAAAAAAUGAAGGUACCCUGUGAGGAAGGAUCGGCUAACUUCGUGCCAGCAGCCGCGGUAAGACGAGGGAUCCUAGCGUUGCUCGGACUCAUUGGGCGUCAAGAGGGCGUAGGUGGCUUGGUAAGUCAGGUGUGAAAGCACAGGGCUCAACCCUGGAAGUGCAUUUGAUACUGCUGAGCUUGAGUGUCGGAGAGGUUACCGGAAUAGCUGGUGUAGUGGUGAAAUACGUAGAUAUCAGGUGGAAUACCGGAGGCGAAGGCGGGUAACUGGACGAACACUGACCCUGAGGCCCGAAAGCGUGGGGAUCAAACAGGAUUAGAAACCCGAGUAGUC